UGGGGUGGAGUAUCCCUUUAAUGACGGAUGCUUUUCAGAGUCUUUGCGGUCCGCAGGAGAAUAUGCACCUGCUUCAGACACAGUUGAUGUGUUUUACUGCUUGGCAUGGAUAUUCUUCUGGCGGCUAUAGAGAUACUGACCAACCCAUCUGGACACCAGGAGCACUUGAUUAAGGUGAAUGAAGAGAAGCCAGAUCCAAGCCCACCUUCUUGUGAUCAUCUCAGUGAUUUGUGUGGAGCU
This is a long non-coding RNA of Cyprinus carpio (common carp), 240 nucleotides long. RefSeq lists it as uncharacterized. The transcript has 2 exons. The record is from RefSeq and is a predicted model, not a curated record. Lineage: Eukaryota; Metazoa; Chordata; Actinopteri; Cypriniformes; Cyprinidae.